RNAcentral lists this ribosomal RNA (494 nucleotides) under uncultured bacterium. RNAcentral's name for it is "partial 16S ribosomal RNA". It matches the Rfam family "Bacterial small subunit ribosomal RNA", at positions 28 to 507 of the family's 1533-position model. The record is from RNAcentral.
GACGAACGCUGGCGGCGUGCUUAACACAUGCAAGUCGAACGGAAAGGCCUGCUUUCCCUUGUGGAUUGCGGGUACUCGAGUGGCUAACGGGUGAGUAACACGUGAGUGAUCUGCCCCCAACUUGGGUAUAAGCCUGGGAAACUGUGUCUAAUUCCCGAUAGGACUGCAGGGUGGUGCCUGUGGUGGAAAACGUUUUUCUAGUUGUUGGGGAUGAGCUCGCGGCCUAUCAGCUUGGUGGUGGGGUAAUGGCCUACAAAGGCGGCGACGGGUAGCCGGCCUGGGAGUGUGGACGGCCACAUUGGGACUGCGAUACGGCCCAGACUCGUACGGGCGGCAGCAGUGGGGAAUAUUGCGCAAAGUGCGGAAGCCUGAUGCAGCGCCGCAGCGUGGGGGAUGACGGCCUUCGGGUUGUAAACUCCUUUCGACCGCGAGGAAGCCACCUGGUUGGAAGGGUGGUGACGGUAGUGGUAGAAGAAGCCCCGGCUAACUACGUG